AGGGUUCGAUUCUGGCUCAGGAUGAACGCUAGCGACAGGCUUAACACAUGCAAGUCGAGGGGCAGCAUAAAAGUAGCAAUACUUGGUGGCGACCGGCGCACGGGUGAGUAACGCGUAUGCAACCUACCUAUCAGAGGGGAAUAACCCGGGCGAAAGUCGGACUAAUACCGCAUAAAACAGGGACACCGCAUGGUGAUAUUUGUUAAGAAAUUCGCUGAUAGAUGGGCAUGCGUUCCAUUAGGUAGUUGGUGAGGUAACGGCUCACCAAGCCGACGAUGGAUAGGGGAACUGAGAGGUUGGUCCCCCACACUGGUACUGAGACACGGACCAGACUCCUACGGGAGGCAGCAGUGAGGAAUAUUGGUCAAUGGGCGAGAGCCUGAACCAGCCAAGUCGCGUGAAGGAAAGAAGGAUCUAUGGUUCGUAAACUUCUUUUGCAGGGGAAUAAAGUGCAGGACGUGUCCUGUUUUGUAUGUACCCUGAGAAUAAGGAUCGGCUAACUCCGUGCCAGCAGCUGC
This 518-nucleotide ribosomal RNA is filed under the name uncultured bacterium. RNAcentral describes it as "bacterial SSU rRNA". It matches the Rfam family "Bacterial small subunit ribosomal RNA", at positions 8 to 518 of the family's 1533-position model. The record is from RNAcentral.